AGGAGGGCAUAGCUUUCCUCUUCCUUGGAAUUUUGUAUCCUGUUCUGGGGAAAAUGGCAAGCUGAAAUUAAUCCACAGGAGAGCUAUCAUGAUCGUGGAGUCUGAGAACCAUGAAAGAUGUCUGAACACCUGCAACCGAUGAAAACCCAAAACUAAGAUUCGGAGAGACCUGUAAGCAGUGGUCACAUAUUUGAAGUGCUGACCUGGAAAGAAAGGAUUACACUUUUUAUUGCAUGCAAUUCUGGAAGGCAGAGAAAGGACCAAUGCGUAUAAAUUACAAAGAGACCCCUGAGAACUCCAUAUCGUGGUGUUCAGUGAUUGUGUAAAGUCCAAUCACCAAACUCUUCCAGGAGAGAGAAUGUGACUCAGUGCUAUCCCAGUGUGUAAUGAAGCUUCACCAAACUGGGUCAAGAGCAUUUAAAGCAAGUGUCAAGGAUCAUAUUUACAGGCUCAGAAGAAUCACAAAGACCAUGUGCAACAUACCCAUAGUUGGAUCAAAAUAGAAGAGUAAUGGCUUGUGAGGAAGUAAGUCACUUCUUAUGGAGGUUAUCCUAAUGCAAGGAAUAAAAAAGAAAGCAAUCGAUCUGG
Molecule: long non-coding RNA, 588 nt
Organism: Felis catus (domestic cat)
Lineage: Eukaryota; Metazoa; Chordata; Mammalia; Carnivora; Felidae
Exons: 3
Source: RefSeq, a predicted model, not a curated record